CCUACGGGUGGUAGCAGUGAGGAAUAUUGGUUAAUGGGCGCGAGCCUGAACCAGCCAAGUCGCGUGAGGGAAGACGGUCCUAUGGAUUGUAAACCUCUUUUGUCGGGGAGCAAAAGACGCCCCGCGUGGCCUUCCGAGAGUACCCGAAGAACAAGCAUCGGCUAACUCCGUGCCAGCAGCCGCGGUAAUACGGAGGAUGCGAGCGUUAUCCGGAUUUAUUGGGUUUAAAGGGUGCGCAGGCGGAAGAUCAAGUCAGCGGUAAAAUUGUGAGGCUCAACCUCUUCGAGCCGUUGAAACUGGUGUUCUUGAGUGAGUGAGAGGUAGGCGGAAUGCGUGGUGUAGCGGUGAAAUGCAUAGAUAUCACGCAGAACUCCGAUUGCGAAGGCAGCAUACCGGAGCGCAACUGACGCUCAUGCACGAAAGUGUGGGUAUCGAACAGGAUUAGAUACCCCGGUAGUC
This 459-nucleotide ribosomal RNA is filed under the name uncultured bacterium. RNAcentral's name for it is "partial 16S ribosomal RNA". It matches the Rfam family "Bacterial small subunit ribosomal RNA", at positions 338 to 795 of the family's 1533-position model. The record is from RNAcentral.